This 466-nucleotide ribosomal RNA is filed under the name uncultured bacterium. Its description in RNAcentral is "partial 16S ribosomal RNA". It matches the Rfam family "Bacterial small subunit ribosomal RNA", at positions 28 to 507 of the family's 1533-position model. The record is from RNAcentral.
GAUGAACGCUGGCGGCGUGCUUAACACAUGCAAGUCGAACGAUGAAGCCCAGCUCGCUGGGUGGAUUAGUGGCGAACGGGUGAGUAACACGUGAGUAACCUGCCCUUCACUCUGGGAUAAGCAUGGGAAACUGGGUCUAAUACCGGCCAGGAGAGUCCACCGACUGGUGGGUGUUGGAAAGAUUUAUCGGUUUUGGAUGGACUCGCGGCCUAUCAGCUUGUUGGUGAGGUAAUGGCUCACCAAGGCGACGCCGGGUAGCCGGCCUUAGAGGGUGACCGGCCACACUGGGACUGAGACACGGCCCAGACUCCUACGGGAGGCAGCAGUGGGGAAUAUGACGCAGUGGGCGAGAGCCUGAUACAGCGACGCCGCGUGAGGGAUAACGGCCUUCGGGUUAUAAACCUCUUUCAGUAGGGAAGAAGCGAAAGUGACGGUACCUGCAGAAGAAGCACCGGCUAACUACGUG